CCUACGGGAGGCUGCAGUCGAGAAUCAUUCACAAUGGGGGAAACCCUGAUGGUGCGACGCCGCGUGGGGGAAUGAAGGUCUUCGGAUUGUAAACCCCUGUCAUGUGGGAGCAAAUUAAAAAGAUAGUACCACAAGAGGAAGAGACGGCUAACUCUGUGCCAGCAGCCGCGGUAAUACAGAGGUCUCAAGCGUUGUUCGGAAUCACUGGGCGUAAAGCGUGCGUAGGCUGUUUCGUAAGUCGUGUGUGAAAGGCGCGGGCUCAACCCGCGGACGGCCCAUGAUACUGCGAGACGAGAGGAAUGGAGGGGGAACCGGAAUUCUCGGGGUAGCAGUGAAAUGCGUAGAUAGCGAGAGGAACACUCGUGGCGAAGGCGGGUUCCUGGACAUUAACUGACGCUGAGGCACGAAGGCCAGGGGAGCGAAAGGGAUUAGAUACCCUUGUAGUC
Molecule: ribosomal RNA, 446 nt
Filed under: uncultured bacterium
Lineage: Bacteria
Description: partial 16S ribosomal RNA
Rfam family: Bacterial small subunit ribosomal RNA
Source: RNAcentral